Molecule: unclassified non-coding RNA, 1342 nt
Filed under: Homo sapiens (human)
Lineage: Eukaryota; Metazoa; Chordata; Mammalia; Primates; Hominidae
Description: killer cell immunoglobulin like receptor, two Ig domains and long cytoplasmic tail 4 (ENSG00000283869.1, ENSG00000284460.1, ENSG00000284509.1)
Source: RNAcentral
AGAAGCUGCACCAUGUCCAUGUCACCCACGGUCAUCAUCCUGGCAUGUCUUGGGUUCUUCUUGGACCAGAGUGUGUGGGCACACGUGGGUGGUCAGGACAAGCCCUUCUGCUCUGCCUGGCCCAGCGCUGUGGUGCCUCAAGGAGGACACGUGACUCUUCGGUGUCACUGUCGUCGUGGGUUUAACAUCUUCACGCUGUACAAGAAAGAUGGGGUCCCUGUCCCUGAGCUCUACAACAGAAUAUUCUGGAACAGUUUCCUCAUUAGCCCUGUGACCCCAGCACACGCAGGGACCUACAGAUGUCGAGGUUUUCACCCGCACUCCCCCACUGAGUGGUCGGCACCCAGCAACCCCCUGGUGAUCAUGGUCACAGGUCUAUAUGAGAAACCUUCGCUUACAGCCCGGCCGGGCCCCACGGUUCGCGCAGGAGAGAACGUGACCUUGUCCUGCAGCUCCCAGAGCUCCUUUGACAUCUACCAUCUAUCCAGGGAGGGGGAAGCCCAUGAACUUAGGCUCCCUGCAGUGCCCAGCAUCAAUGGAACAUUCCAGGCCGACUUCCCUCUGGGUCCUGCCACCCACGGAGAGACCUACAGAUGCUUCGGCUCUUUCCAUGGAUCUCCCUACGAGUGGUCAGACCCGAGUGACCCACUGCCUGUUUCUGUCACAGACUCUGAUGAACAAGACCCUCAGGAGGUGACAUACGCACAGUUGGAUCACUGCAUUUUCACACAGAGAAAAAUCACUGGCCCUUCUCAGAGGAGCAAGAGACCCUCAACAGAUACCAGCGUGUGUAUAGAACUUCCAAAUGCUGAGCCCAGAGCGUUGUCUCCUGCCCAUGAGCACCACAGUCAGGCCUUGAUGGGAUCUUCUAGGGAGACAACAGCCCUGUCUCAAACCCAGCUUGCCAGCUCUAAUGUACCAGCAGCUGGAAUCUGAAGGCGUGAGUCUCCAUCUUAGAGCAUCACUCUUCCUCACACCACAAAUCUGGUGCCUGUCUCUUGCUUACCAAUGUCUAAGGUCCCCACUGCCUGCUGCAGAGAAAACACACUCCUUUGCUUAGCCCACAAUUCUCUAUUUCACUUGACCCCUGCCCACCUCUCCAACCUAACUGGCUUACUUCCUAGUCUACUUGAGGCUGCAAUCACACUGAGGAACUCACAAUUCCAAACAUACAAGAGGCUCUCUCUUAACACGGCACUUAGACACGUGCUGUUCCACCUUCCCUCGUGCUGUUCCACCUUUCCUCAGACUAUUUUUCAGCCUUCUGGCAUCAGCAAACCUUAUAAAAUUUUUUUGAUUUCAGUGUAGUUCUCUCCUCUUCAAAUAAACAUGUCUGCCUUCA